CAGGGUACCUUUGACACUUCUUAGUUCAACCAAAUGAACUAAAAUUUUAAAGUUACAUAACUUUUUGAAAAACUAGUUCAUUUGUUUGAACUAAGGAGGAUCAAAGGAUACCUG
This is a non-coding RNA of Brachypodium distachyon (stiff brome), 114 nucleotides long. Lineage: Eukaryota; Viridiplantae; Streptophyta; Magnoliopsida; Poales; Poaceae. The record is from Rfam.